GAACAAAGUGCCUUAUUUGGGACUUAGGAAUUACAAUUCGGGAGACACAGACUCAGGCUGCCUCCAGGUUCACAGCUGGCAUCAGCACACUGACUGGAGAGUCUUGAGGUCCCAGCUAAGUCCACAGCACCAACUCUGCUGUGACAGUGGGAAGAACUGGAAUUUCAAACUGGUGAGUAAUCUACAAGUGUUUUCACUACACAUGCUCAGCAGAAAGGAAUGUGGACUUGAAGUACAAUCACAGAGCCCUUGCCAUCCUGUCC
RNAcentral lists this long non-coding RNA (263 nucleotides) under Sus scrofa (pig). RNAcentral describes it as "lncRNA (ENSSSCG00055010201.1)". Lineage: Eukaryota; Metazoa; Chordata; Mammalia; Artiodactyla; Suidae. The record is from RNAcentral.